Molecule: ribosomal RNA, 267 nt
Filed under: uncultured eukaryote
Lineage: Eukaryota
Description: partial Bacterial large subunit ribosomal RNA
Rfam family: Bacterial large subunit ribosomal RNA
Source: RNAcentral
UGCGAUGGAGGGACGGAGAAGGUUAUGCCAGCUUGGCGAUGGUUGUCCAAGUGGAAGGAUGUAGUUAGGUUUAGUAGGCAAAUCCGCUAGACUAUUAAUGAGAUCUGAUAGCAAGCUGUACUUGUACAGCGAAGUGGCAAAUACCCUGCUUCCAGGAAAAGCUUCUAAACUUAUGAUUAUAUGAACCGUACCCCAAACCGACACAGGUGGUCAGGUAGAGAAUACUAAGGCGCUUGAGAGAACUCGGGUGAAGGAACUCGGCAAAAU